GAUGAACGCUGGCGGCGUGCCUAAUACAUGCAAGUCGAGCGAACAGAUGAGGAGCUUGCUCCUCUGACGUUAGCGGCGGACGGGUGAGUAACACGUGGAUAACCUACCUAUAAGACUGGGAUAACUUCGGGAAACCGGAUCUAAUACCGGAUAAUAUAUUGAACCGCAUGGUUCAAUAGUGAAAGACGGUUUUGCUGUCACUUAUAGAUGUAUCCGCGCCGCAUUAGCUAGUUGGUAAGGUAACGGCUUACCAAGGCAACGCUGCGUAGCCGACCUGAGAGGGGGACCGGCCCCCCUGAAACGGGACCCGGGUCCAGACUCUUACGGAAGGCAGAGGUGGGAAUUUUUCCGAAAUGGGCGAAAGCUGAACGAGGCAACGCCGGGUGGGUAAUAAGGGUCUUCGAUUCGAAAAACUCUGUUAUUGGGAAAAAACAAAUGUGUAAGUAACCAUGCAGGUUUUGAGGGAACCACAGAAGAAGGCCCGGCUAACUUCGGU
Molecule: ribosomal RNA, 496 nt
Filed under: uncultured bacterium
Lineage: Bacteria
Description: partial 16S ribosomal RNA
Rfam family: Bacterial small subunit ribosomal RNA
Source: RNAcentral